CCUACGGGUGACAGCAGUGGGGAAUAUUGGGCAAUGGGCGAAAGCCUGACCCAGCAACGCCGCGUGAAGGAAGAAGGCUUUCGGGUUGUAAACUUCUUUUGACAGGGAAGAGCAGAAGACGGUACCUGUCGAAUAAGCCACGGCUAACUACGUGCCAGCAGCCGCGGUAAUACGUAGGUGGCAAGCGUUGUCCGGAUUUACUGGGUGUAAAGGGCGUGUAGCCGGGCUGACAAGUCAGAUGUGAAAUCCGGGGGCUCAACCGCGGAACUGCAUUUGAAACUGUUUUUCUUGAGUACCGGAGAGGUCAUCGGAAUUCCUUGUGUAGCGGUGAAAUGCGUAGAUAUUAGGAGGAACACCAGUGGCGAAGGCGGCCUGCUGGGCUUUUACUGACGCUGAGGCUCGAAAGUGUGGGGAGCAAACAGGAUUAGAUACCCCGGUAGUC
RNAcentral lists this ribosomal RNA (442 nucleotides) under uncultured bacterium. RNAcentral describes it as "partial 16S ribosomal RNA". It matches the Rfam family "Bacterial small subunit ribosomal RNA", at positions 338 to 795 of the family's 1533-position model. The record is from RNAcentral.